UUUUGACACCUUUAAAAAUGGUGCAGAAUAAGGGGUGGGCAAGUCUGGUGUCAGCCGCCGCGGUAAUACCAGCACCCCGAGUGGUCGGGACGAUUAUUGGGCCUAAAGCAUCCGUAGCCGGUUCUGCAAGUCUUCCGUUAAAUCCACCUGCUUAACAGAUGGGCUGCGGAGGAUACUACAGAGCUAGGAGGCGGGAGAGGCAAGCGGUACUCAAUGGGUAGGGGUAAAAUCCUCUGAUCCAUUGAAGACCACCAGUGGCGAAGGCGGCUUGCCAGAACGCGCUCGACGGUGAGGGAUGAAAGCUGGGGGAGCAAACCGGAUUAGAUACCCGGGUAGUCCCAGCUGUAAACGAUGCAGACUCGGUGAUGGGCUGGCUUUGUGCCAACCCAGUGCCGCAGGGAAGCCGUUAAGUCUGCCGCCUGGGGAGUACGGUCGCAAGACUGAAACUUAAAGGAAUUGG
Molecule: ribosomal RNA, 460 nt
Filed under: Nitrososphaera viennensis
Lineage: Archaea; Thermoproteati; Nitrososphaerota; Nitrososphaeria; Nitrososphaerales; Nitrososphaeraceae
Description: bacterial SSU rRNA
Rfam family: Archaeal small subunit ribosomal RNA
Source: RNAcentral